Molecule: ribosomal RNA, 519 nt
Filed under: uncultured eukaryote
Lineage: Eukaryota
Description: SSU rRNA
Rfam family: Eukaryotic small subunit ribosomal RNA
Source: RNAcentral
AGGGCACCACCAGGAGUGGAGCCUGCGGCUUAAUUUGACUCAACACGGGAAAACUUACCUGGUCCUGACACUAGAAGGAUUGACAGAUUGAUAGCUCUUUCUUGAUUUGGUGGAUGGUGGUGCAUGGCCGUUCUUAGUUGGUGGAGUGAUUUGUCUGGUUAAUUCCGAUAACGAACGAGACUCUAGCCUAUUAAAUAACACGCAGAAUCUUGUCUUCUGCGGUGUUUCUUAAUGGGAUCAAGUGUGUUUAACGCUUUGAAACAGAGCAAUAACAGGUCUGUGAUGCCCUUAGAUGUUCGGGGCUGCACGCGCGCUACAUUGAAAGACAAAAUGAGCCUUCUAGUUUUUAAUAAAGCUAGUAAUCUUUGAAUGUUUUUCUUAAUGGGGAUAGGGGAUUGCAAUUGUGCAACUUGAACGAGGAAUUCCCAGUAAGUGCUAAUCAUUAGUUAGUACUGAUUACGUCCCUGCCUUUUGUACACACCGCCCGUCGCUACUACCGAUUGAAUGGUUUAGUGAGAU